Non-coding RNA from Cephalotrichum gorgonifer, 73 nucleotides. The record is from the annotation of a GenBank genome assembly. Lineage: Eukaryota; Fungi; Ascomycota; Sordariomycetes; Microascales; Microascaceae.
GGGGGUGUAGUUUAAAUUGGUAAAACUACGAAUUUGCACUUCGUUGUUUCAGGUUCAAUUCCUGACGUCUCCA